Molecule: ribosomal RNA, 402 nt
Filed under: uncultured bacterium
Lineage: Bacteria
Description: bacterial SSU rRNA
Rfam family: Bacterial small subunit ribosomal RNA
Source: RNAcentral
AAUCAACGCUGGCGGCGUGCCUAACACAUGCAAGUCGGGCGAGAAAGUGGGGGCAACUCCAUGAGUACAGCGGCGACCGGGUGAGUAACACGUGACUAACCUACCCUUGAGUGGGGAAUAACUCCGGGAAACCGGAGCUAAUACCGCAUAACACCGUAAGGUCAAAGGAGCAAUUCGCUUAAGGAGGGGGUCGCGGUUGAUUAGCUAGUUGGUGGGGUAAUGGCCCACCCAAGGCGAUGAUCAAUAGCCGGCCUGAGAGGGCGCACGGCCACACCUGGAACUGAAACACGGUCCAGACUCCUACGGGAGGCAGCAGUGGGGAAUUUUGCGCAAUGGGGGAAACCCUGACGCAGCAACGCCGCGUGAAGGAUAAAGGUCUUUGGAUUGUAAACUUCUUUCGUU